RNAcentral lists this long non-coding RNA (1008 nucleotides) under Homo sapiens (human). Its description in RNAcentral is "non-protein coding INE1:1". Lineage: Eukaryota; Metazoa; Chordata; Mammalia; Primates; Hominidae. The record is from RNAcentral.
AUUUAUUUCAUUUAUUCACCAGAUAGUUUUAGUACUGUUUUAGGUAUUGGGGAUAUACCAAGGAAUAAAACAAGAUUCCUGGAGGGAGAGGGGAACGGACAGCAAACAAUAGACACAAUACGAUCGUGAGGUAUAUAGUUAAUGUUGGUGAUGAGUGCUCCUCAAAGGAAACAACUAAAACCAGACAAGGGAAGUCGGGGUGUCAGGGAGAAUGGUUUGUAGUAUUGAUGACAAUGGUUAAGGAAGGCCUGAGUUCUGCAAAGACCUCAAGGAUAUGAGGGACUAGAGUGCCCUCUGCUGUGGAAGAGCCUGCGCAAAGAUCCUGAGGUGGGAGGGGUCAGGGAGCCAACUCAUUUUACGGUAAGUGGAGGUGGGAUCCAGGGGAGGAUUCUGAGCAGAGGAGGGACGUGGCCCAAUUUGGGCUUUGAAAGGAUCCUGCUUGUCUGUGUGCCAGCAUCCUGGUGGUGGUUGGGGGAGUCUGCAUCAAUCCUGGGUGCUGUUACCUGAAAAAAUAGCAGGUGUUAGACGAAAGAACAGAUGUCUGGCCCAUUGUCUCCAGUCUGUUCCUGUCCACAGCUUCCCUUUAUGCUGAGCCCCUGCCACAUGCAUCAUCAUCCUGGCCAUGUGGCAUUGUCACAGACCGUCUCUCCUGCUAGCCUCCUAACUCAGGGCCUGGGUCUUCCCCAGCAUUAAGUAAAUCAGUCUCAGGCAGACAGCCCUUUAUAGGUGUUUGGGCCAGGUGCGGUGGCUCACGCCUGUAAUCCCAGCUCUUUGUGGGGCCGAGGUCUUUGAGCUCAGGAGUUCAAGACCAGCCUGGGCAGCAUGACAAAACCCUGUCUCUACCAAAAAUACAAAAAUUAGCCACGCAUGGUGGCACACACCUGUGGUCCCAGCUACUCGGGAGGCUGAGGUGGGAGGAUCGCUGGAGCCUGGGAAGUUGAGGCUGCAGUGAGCCGUGAUCAUGCCACUGCAUUCCAGCCUGUGUGAUGGAGAGAGACCCUGUCUCAA